UCAGUCGACUCCUACGGGGAGGCAGCAGUGGGGAAUAUUGCACAAUCGGGGGGAAACCCUGAUGCAGCCAUGCCGCGUGUGUGAAGAAGGCCUUCGGGUUGUAAAGCACUUUCAGUAGGGAGGAAGGUAGUGUAGUUAACACCUGCAUUAUUUGACGUUACCUACAGAAGAAGCACCGGCUAACUCCGUGCCAGCAGCCGCGGUAAUACGGAGGGUGCGAGCGUUAAUCGGAAUUACUGGGCGUAAAGCGCAUGCAGGCGGCCUGUUAAGUCAGAUGUGAAAGCCCGGGGCUUAACCUCGGAAUUGCAUUUGAAACUGGCAGGCUAGAGUCUUGUAGAGGGGGGUAGGAAUUUCAGGUGUAGCGGUGAAAUGCGUAGAGAUCUGAAGGAAUACCAGUGGCGAAGGCGGCCCCCUGGACAAAGACUGACGCUCAGAUGCGAAAGCGUGGGGAGCAAACAGGAUUAGAUACCCUGGUAG
Molecule: ribosomal RNA, 477 nt
Filed under: uncultured bacterium
Lineage: Bacteria
Description: bacterial SSU rRNA
Rfam family: Bacterial small subunit ribosomal RNA
Source: RNAcentral